UGUUAGUCUAUCUAACUUCAGAAGCCAAACGCAGAGGUGAUUCUGGUCGUAUUAGGCUAAGUCAACUAAGAAAAGCAAACAGCCUCCCUCACCAAGGGCAACCGACAAGUUCCUUACCUGCCCUGAGGACUAGAGUUUUCAUCUCACUGAAAAUUCAGAAUCAAAAUCAAAAACAGCUGAGGUAGUUACUCGGGUGCCUUCCUUCAGCUUAUUCAAAAGAAUAUAGGAUGCACGAUCUCAGUCUCAUGCUGCUCUUGAAGAAUUAAGCUGCCAUGUUGUGAACUGCCUAUGGAGAAGUUCAUGUGGCAAGUAGCAUGGACAGCCUCUAGGAACGAAGGAUGUCAGUCAUACAGCACCAAGAAAUGAAUUCUGUCAACCACCAGAAUGAGAAUGGAAACAGAUUCUUCCCCAGUCGAGUCUCCAGAUGGGAUCACAACCUAGCUAGUACUUUGACUGUAGCCUUGUUAGACUCUUAGCAGAGCAGCUAUGCUACGCCAGACUCCCGAACCACAGAAACUUUAA
This is a non-coding RNA of Kogia breviceps (pygmy sperm whale), 522 nucleotides long. Lineage: Eukaryota; Metazoa; Chordata; Mammalia; Artiodactyla; Physeteridae. The record is from RefSeq and is a predicted model, not a curated record.